RNAcentral lists this long non-coding RNA (293 nucleotides) under Physcomitrium patens. RNAcentral describes it as "long non-coding RNA (PPAT_LNC003594)". The record is from RNAcentral. Lineage: Eukaryota; Viridiplantae; Streptophyta; Bryopsida; Funariales; Funariaceae.
UUUUUUUUUUUUUUUUUCCAACCGAUAGGUCUCUAGACGUUACAGAGAACUCCGAACAACCCAAACUGUUAAUCUUCAAUACCCCUUUGUACUUACGAUCUUGUAUCCACUGACUGUCCUGUUAGAUUAACCCAAUAAAUUUCAUUCACUCCGCAUACUCAAUCCUAUAGACACCCCUUUAAUCCUUCAAUCACAGACGUAACUCGAUUUUACAAAACAGUCAAGAGUAUUCAAACCCACUUUAUUUAAAAAUCCCGAUUCACCAUUACAACACUGACUUCAGCCGCGAUUGC